GGCAUUUUAGAAAUAAAUUGGCAACAUGUCGCUGUGAAACUCUGCCAGUUAGUUUCAUUUAUCAAUUUGUUGAUGUCAUUGUAAAAGAAAUAGCCUCCACUUGAGAGAUGACACUUCAUCCAUAACAGAAAUGGCUCGUGUGUUCCUCGACUGCUAGAGCGUCACAUAAUAGAACAUGUCACCAGGCUGGGCUUCUGCAGCAGGUGCCUAAGAGCCUGUCGUGCUGUGGGGUCAAGUGUCUACGAAGUGAGGGACUGUCAUUCAAGAGCCAGGGAUCACACGGCAUCUUUAUGUCAUGAUCCUUCUCCGUUUCUUUUGCUUCUGAAUUUUCAAGCUCCUUAUCAGGAAGAACCAAGGAGGCUGCCCCAGCCGUUUCCCACAUCAGAGACUUCCCCGUUCUCUACAAAGAAAUGACUUCUGGCCCUGUCCAACUGGAAGGCUGCUGCAGACUUCCUGGGCGAGGGCUGCCUAGGGAAGAACCCUGAUGUGAAUGCAGCUGACAUAACAAUAACCUGGAACUCAGUUCUCCUAACAUGCUAUGAAACAAGAACCUCCAGCUGAGGAAAACUGAGAACUUGAAGGUCACACUUCAAGUUACUGAUUGGCCAACCCGGGAACAGACUCAGAAUGAUCCCCAGCCCUGAAGUGUUACCCUGCAGACACCAGCUCCUCGCAGCAGACUGUAUGUGAGUGUUUGGGAGGAACUAAAUAAAAUGUGCAGUUUUUAUUUUUUUAAAUUGCUGUGGCCUGAUAAAAAACAAUUUAAGGAUGGCGGAGUUUAGUUUGCCUCAUGGUUCAAGAGGACACAGUCUGCCAUGGAGGGGAGGCGUGGCAGCAGGAUCCUGAGGUGGUUGAUCACAGUGCAUUCACAGUCGGGAAGCAGAGAAAGACAAACGCUGGUGCUCAGCUCACUUUCUCCUUUUCCUUGAGCCCAGAACCCCCCACCCCGAAGUGGUUCUUCCCACCGAAUGAACUCAAUCUAAAAGCUCCCUCACAAGCAUGCCCCAAAGUUUAUCUCAUGCUGACUCUUCAUCCUGCCAAGUUGACAGCCAGUCUUAAACAUCACAGAGGACAGUGCCGGCUGCGGCUGCUUCUCAUCCGUGGGGUGAGUGUAAGGCUCCGUCACCUCUGUAAGGCUCUGUCACCUCUGUAGGGUUUCGUCGCCUAUGAGAUGUACCACCAGUUCAUUAGCACAAGUGCCAAGUUUAGGCAAAUUGUAAAUUUCUCAGGAAGGACUUUUUCUAUCCAACGCAUCUGUUUCUAGAAGCCUAAUGGGUCUCCUUAGGGAUGAAUGAAUCCUGGAGGGACUGAAAACUACUUUGGGGAGCCAGCCACCGGAAGGACGCAGCUACCACAUGGAUUUCAUCUCACCCAGAGCUACGGCUUCGGGAGUCUCACUCCGAGCACCCUAGCAUAGACAGUGUUUGAGACAUACUGAGGAUGGUGUCAAGCAUCGGCUCAAACCCCUGCCUGAACUCCCAAAUACUAGAACUACCCAGACAGCCUCUACCUCCUGCUGGUCAACCUGCUGGGAUCUGAAAGCCAUCCUGCCUCUAAGCUUUGCUGCUUGAAGCUGAGGACUUGGUCAAGCAUAGGUAGAAAUCUGUGGGCAUUCUGAUGAUCUCAAUGUUGCCUGAACGGCAGUGCCUCAGAAUCCCAGUAAGUACUAGGACCAGGGGUUACUCACGGCACUGUGGAAUGUUGAUUUUGCAAAGGGUACUAGUCUUGCCCCAGUUGCCUUGGAAACCUACUCGCUGAUGUCCUGAUACCUCCAAGUAUAACAAUCACAGGGGCACACUUAGGUCUGUCCUGUGUGGGAAGGGGGAGGGUAUGUUCUCGCACCUGUCUGCUUUGCCCUGGGUUUUGGCUACGAUGCUGAGAACUGAACCCAGAGCUUUUGCACAUGCUGUGUAGUUACUUUUCUGGCUACAUCCCUAGCCCAACUCCUCUUGUUUCAAAGGUAAUUUAUGUAGACACAUUAUAAAAUAACAGAUAUCCCAAUCUAUAAAUACCACAUUCUAUAUUUAGUGCAUGUUGGCAAACAUGUAUCUCGGGCUGAGCCGGGUGUGGUAGUACACACCCAUAAUUCAAGCACUUGGGAGGCUGAUGGAGGAGGACCACAAGGUCCAGGCAAGCCUGGGCUACAUAGUGAGUCCCCAUCCCAAAAGGCCAAAUAAAGGAAAGUUGACAUGUACCAUGAGCCAUACUCUACAGGUGACUAAAUGAUAAUUGGCUAUUAUCAAAUACCUUAUUUGUUUCUGUUUUGGAGCUUGGAACUAACCAAGUAGCUCAGCUGGUUCCCAGGACCCUCCUGACUCCAUCUUCCCAGCUCUGGGAUGGAGGUGCAUACCAUCACAGUCAGCUUCUCAUGCAGGUUCUGGGGAUUGAACUCAAGUCCUUGAGUUUGCAAGGCAAGCACUUUACCAGCUGAGCUAUCCCCACAGCACACCACUCAGGCAGUUCGUAGCUGCUUUCCAUUUUGACAUCAACCCAUUGAGAGCUGGAGACGCAGGGGUAUUGAGACAGCCGUGGCCUUCCCAGCGCUUCUCAGGCAUUACUAGUAAAACAGCACAUUUACUGAAAAUCAAGGGGCGAAUGCUGCUUUGAGUGAUUAAGCACCGUGUGUGUGGAUGUCACAGCGAGAUGUGGUGCUGUUGACCUGCACUGAGGUGGCCAGCACAGUGACAUCGGUCAGGAUGCAAGCAGAUGGGCUAACAACCACUUCAGGCCUUGAAGUGUGCAUAGGCAACUGCGACAAGAUCGUGCUGAGACGCCUCUUUCCUUUCUACUUCCCACCUCCAGGGUACCUGAGCCUCAGUUUCCCCUCACUGCAGCUGUUUACUGAGGCGAAUGCUCUUGUCGCUUCCUCCCCCGACACCUCAUGAUAGGAAAGAGAUGUGUUUUGG
Peromyscus leucopus (white-footed mouse) is the source of this 2906-nucleotide long non-coding RNA. RefSeq lists it as uncharacterized. The transcript has 4 exons. The record is from RefSeq and is a predicted model, not a curated record. Lineage: Eukaryota; Metazoa; Chordata; Mammalia; Rodentia; Cricetidae.